UUCCAGCGUGGAGGAGUGCGGUGGCGGUGCACUCACUUCCGGAAUUCAGCCGCACAGAGUGGACGCAAUACUCCCGGCACCGCACCGGCGCGCGGCGCGGCGGGCGGCGAAGAGAAGCAAGCGGAGGUUUUCCAAAACUGCGUCGCUGGAUCGCGAAAUAUGUGAUUCACCGGCGGGAAUUCGCAGCGCGUCUUGAGAAUGUGAACAUCGCAGGAAUUCGGCGAAUGUUUUUCACGUAAUGGUGGAAACUCGCAUUAUUUGACGUUCCCGAAAAGUUCGAAGUAAGAAUGGAAUCCCGGCAAUAUACUUUCAAGAAAAGGGAAACUAGCGAGAACGAGAUACAGGAUGAAUGUGGGCGCGCUCCACUGACACAUUUCCGCGUCGGCGCUUUUCCCGCGCGCGCAUCGGGAUUCUUUCAUCUGGCCUCGGCGUAAAAAUGGCGACGAAAAACACAACGAAUAUUCGUCGUCGGGGCGCGCGGGGGGACUUCCUCUAUUACUAAAUCUCGAUCUCGGCGGAUUUGCAACGGCCGGUUUGUAACGCGGAAUGUUCCCUCUCUUUUCUACGGGACCGCAGCGCGCACACAAUGCAACAAAGGAUACGUCGGCGAUAGCGAUGCACGACAGGGAUAAAUUUUUGCUACGUGACGAAUGAACUUUAAUUCAUCAGACUUUGCGGACUCACGGUGAACGAUGUUUGUCGCGCGCGCACGGAGGCGAAACCCAUUCGUGCACUCUCCCACGUUUCCGCGGCGUGCCGGCGAAUACAUUCGCCGGCAAUGAAGUCCGCAGGAUAUGUCCGUUGUAACUGGCAGUUAAAUUAAACUUUGUUUAUCAGUG
This is a long non-coding RNA of Harpegnathos saltator (Jerdon's jumping ant), 839 nucleotides long. RefSeq lists it as uncharacterized. NCBI's taxonomy places the organism in Eukaryota, Metazoa, Arthropoda, Insecta, Hymenoptera, Formicidae. The transcript is spliced from 2 exons. The record is from RefSeq and is a predicted model, not a curated record.